This 257-nucleotide ribosomal RNA is filed under the name uncultured bacterium. Its description in RNAcentral is "partial 16S ribosomal RNA". It matches the Rfam family "Bacterial small subunit ribosomal RNA", at positions 524 to 776 of the family's 1533-position model. The record is from RNAcentral.
UACAGAGACCUCAAGCGUUAUCCGGAAUCAUUGGGCGUAAAGCGUACCGAUAGGUGGUCAUGAUAGUUUUGGGUAAAAGCCAGAAGCUCAACUUCUGCGUUUGCUCAAAAUACUUCACGACUAGAGGGGCAAAUAGGUAACUGAAACGAAUGGUGUAGUAGUGAAAUGCGUUGAUAUCAUUCGGAACACCGAAAGCGAAGGCAGGUUACUGGGUGCCACCUGACACUGCUAGGACGAAAGCGUGGGGAGCGAAUGGG